Molecule: ribosomal RNA, 200 nt
Filed under: uncultured bacterium
Lineage: Bacteria
Description: partial 16S ribosomal RNA
Rfam family: Bacterial small subunit ribosomal RNA
Source: RNAcentral
AGAGUUUGAUCCUGGCUCAGAUUGAACGCUAGCGGCAUGCUUAACACAUGCAAGUCGAACGGUAACAGGCUUUAUAAGGCUUCGGCUGAGUAAAGUGCUGACGAGUGGCGGACGGGUGAGUAAUGCGUAGGAAUCUUCCUUAUAGUGGGGGACAACCUGGGGAAACCCAGGCUAAUACCGCAUAACCUCUAUUAUUAUAG